GGUGAACUUCUCGGGCCGAGAACGAACCACGUCACCCGCAAAACCUCAGCUAUCGGAUCACGCAUGGACGGCUCGGAUUAUCCAAUAGGCUAGGUAAUUUUGUAAAAACCCCUCGGAUUUUGUUAGAAUUAACUCGGAGUCCAACCCACCUCUCUGGCAUUGUUUCAAAAAACCCCUUGGACUUUAUAGAAAUCAAUCCGUAGUCCAGCCACCUCUUAGGCAAUUUUAUAAAAACCCCCUCGAGCUUUAUAGAAAUACCAUUUAUCUGAAAAACCCUCAAACUAUACCAAAAUCAGCCUGCAAUCCAUUACACCGAUUAUUGGUUGCCUCUACAAUUCAAACACUAAAACACAUUCAAAUCAAAAGGUGUUGAAUACGAAAGUUAUUCAAAAUUUAAAAAUGUACAACAUUUUCAUACACCAAUUUUUCAAAUCCGAAGCGCUUUUAUGUAGAUCUAAGGUCCAAUAUUGGAAAAAAAUUACAUAGCUCCUCAAAACCUGACCAUUGCUCUACCUUCCCUUUUUAAUUAAAGUCUUCAGUCAAUUAAUAUAAUUUAUCCUUAGUUAAUUCUAAAAAAAUGUAAAAUAGUUGCAAAUAUCCAAUGAAUGAUAAGUAGUUUAGAAGCUUGGGUGCGUUUCAAAUUUGAAUUUUAUACAAACACGCACCUGUUCUCCUCCUGCCGAUCAUUAUAAAAGCUGUCAAAAACUUUCCAACCUGUACUUUUGUUUUCAUCCAAUAGCAUGAAUUGCAUAUAUAUGCAAUGCUCGAAUUUCAUCACUGCUUCGAAUACCUCCUCCUCAUUCAAUUCAACAUAUGUCGAGAAACGUUCAUAUCUCUGCUGCCAAUGAAUCAAAAUAUAAACUUCAGGAUCCAAAACGUCAACAAGGAUUUCUUCUACAAUUGUUUUAUCGAUGUUGCAAGGAUUACAUAGACUACCAAAACUCUUGUCAAGUCUUGGCUACCUCUUGUAUUCUCUACAGUUAGAACCUAAAUUUCAUUUACAAAAUUGCCAACCUGCAACUACAGUCUCUACGGCUCCAUCAUCGCUUUCUCGAUCCACUUAAUCCCCAUCUCCACGUCAAUUGUGUAAUCAUCUCCACCUCCAUACAUGGGCUACGCUAAUACUACUCAUAGGUCAUCCACCGGAUCAGC
Molecule: long non-coding RNA, 1152 nt
Filed under: Setaria viridis
Lineage: Eukaryota; Viridiplantae; Streptophyta; Magnoliopsida; Poales; Poaceae
Description: long non-coding RNA (SVIR_LNC000038)
Source: RNAcentral